AAGCAUGUUCACUUCGCCUCUGAA
Molecule: non-coding RNA, 24 nt
Filed under: Arabidopsis thaliana (thale cress)
Lineage: Eukaryota; Viridiplantae; Streptophyta; Magnoliopsida; Brassicales; Brassicaceae
Source: RNAcentral